UCCGGGCGCGGUGGCGCGUGCCUGUAGUCCCAGCUACUACGGAGGCUGAGGCAGGAGGAUCGCUUGAGUUCAGAAGUGCUGGACUGUAGUGUGUUAUGCCGAUCGGGUGUCCGCACUAAGUUUGGCAUCAAUAUGUGACGUCCGGGAGCGGGGGGGGGGCACCAGGUUGCCUAAGGAGGGGUGAACCGGCCCAGGUCGGAAAUGGAGUAGGUCUAAACUCCAGUGCUGAUCAGAAAAUGAAAAACUCAGUGUAAUUUUAAUUUCCUUUCCACAUGCCAAGGUUUUGAUAUAUGUUUAAAAACCCUAUCUUU
Molecule: unclassified non-coding RNA, 311 nt
Organism: Mesocricetus auratus (golden hamster)
Lineage: Eukaryota; Metazoa; Chordata; Mammalia; Rodentia; Cricetidae
Rfam family: Metazoan signal recognition particle RNA
About the family: The signal recognition particle (SRP) is a universally conserved ribonucleoprotein. It is involved in the co-translational targeting of proteins to membranes.
Source: Ensembl